AUCCAAUCAGGGUUUCACCUCUUAAUCACAUGACGCCGGAGAACCAAUGAAAAUGCUAACAGGAAGACGCUGAACCAAACAUACGUGGGGAAAAACACUUGCCACGCAGGCACCAGCUACCGUGACUGGGGUCACUACCUAGGAGCAUUUCAUUCAAGCACAUAUACGGAACUGCAAAUUGGAACGUGUCGGCACAAGUGUUAAGCUUCAAAUCAGCACCAUCUUCCACUGCCGGCUCAAAGAUCCACCAACACUGUGUUGCAGGGUGCUAUUACACAGAUGACAUCAUCCCACUGCAGCACUCACAGUGCGCGUGCACGCCACUCUUGACACAAAGACACAUGCAUGCACAUGAACAUGCAUGUACUGGUAGAUCCUCUUCAAUAGAUCUCCCUUCCCAACUACUGUACGGGAUAUACAGUAAAGCGGUGAUUCUGCAUAGCCAUCGUUCCACAAACAAAUAUUGUGCAAGAGGUUUUCCAGGAAUUUGAGAGGAACAUGGAGUUGCUCUACAAAACGGUGCCAAAACCCCCACCCCUUCCUCCCUCCUUCCCACCAAACUCACACUAGAAAGUCAUCUGUCUUCCAGAGAGAGCAGGACGUACGGUAUACAUUCGUUCUUGCAUUGAAGAACUGUGACUCACAACGGCUAGCUGUGUGGCAACUUGUGAAUCAACAACAAACACUUUUUUUGUUGUUUUUAUUCCUCACUGCUGCUCUCUGAGCCUUUGUGCAACUCUCUGUUACUCUAUCUUCUUAUCUACGCCGUUCAUUUUAUGGAUCAUUUUAUGAAGGAAGUCUUGUUUAAUGUGAUAAUGGAAUAAAAAUAACUUUUUUUGAAGAAAAAGUUAGAAUAUUACAAGAAUAAACAAAUAUUUUCUUGAU
Doryrhamphus excisus (bluestripe pipefish) is the source of this 885-nucleotide non-coding RNA. The record is from RefSeq and is a predicted model, not a curated record. NCBI's taxonomy places the organism in Eukaryota, Metazoa, Chordata, Actinopteri, Syngnathiformes, Syngnathidae.